CGAACUUACUCACAACGCUGAACUUCCUGCCUAGUGGACCACAUUUUCCAAGACCUGUUACUGCGUGAUGUGUCUUUUUCCCUCUGCUCUGUAAUGCCAGCUCUAUCAUGCAGCGACUCCCUUAUAUAUGUAGCGCUUCUUCAAACUUUCCAUUUUGCUGGUCUCUCCUAUGCUUAUGCUUUGUAAUAUGGGUUGCUGUCUGAUAGAGCUAGUCCUUCUUUGCUUUUCUUUUGCAGAAUUCCCUUGGCUAUUUGUGGACUUUUACUCUUCUUUAUAAGUUUUUAGAAUUAAUCUUUCCACUUGAAAAAUCAUCUUGAAUUCAAGUUCCGGGGAUCUAAGGUACGGCAGAAUAUCUAUACAUAGGAUGGCAACGUGCCUACCUAGAGUUUCCCCGCUUGUUGGCAGAUGCAGUCACAUGACACAGUCCUGCUCAGUGAGAUCUGAGUGGACACCACGGAUGCCUGUCUCAGCUUCCUGAAGCCUGUCACUCCUGUGAUUAAGUUACAUUGUAAAGAAUCUGUCUUAGUGGACCGGAGGAGAGAUUCUCCUGCUGGCCUUGCAGAAGCAAGCUCCGUGUUGUCUGAGGGCCAUGUAGCAGAGAACUGUGGUCAACCUCUAAGAGCUGAGAGUGGCCCUUGGUUGACAGCCAGCAAGAAAGCGGAGACCUCAGUCCCACAAAUGCGAGAAACUGAAUUCUGCCAAUAACCCCAUGAGCUUAGAAGAGAAAG
Molecule: long non-coding RNA, 728 nt
Filed under: Equus asinus (donkey)
Lineage: Eukaryota; Metazoa; Chordata; Mammalia; Perissodactyla; Equidae
Description: lncRNA (ENSEASG00005031097.1)
Source: RNAcentral